GAACGCAUAUUGCGCCUUCUGGUAUUCCGGAAGGCAUGCUUGUUUGGGUAUCAGUAACAACCUCAACUCCUUUCAAUCGUGUUAUGCGUGAGGGAAGGGGGUUGGAUUUGAGCAUAUCCACCGGGCCAUGUUGGCUUGAGGGAUGCUUGAAAUGGAGGUUCGGCCGACAGUGCCUGGGCUACAAGCAUUUCAUACUUAAUCACGUUAAACGGAUUAUAUCCUUUGCUGCAGCCAACAUACAGGGUAUCUGUCAGUGUUCCGACUGAUGCAGGAAAGUUGAGAUGGGUUCUUCGGAUCCUGGCUCUUCUAAACUCAAGUAAGACUACCCGCUGAACUUAAG
Molecule: unclassified non-coding RNA, 340 nt
Filed under: uncultured Mortierella
Lineage: Eukaryota; Fungi; Mortierellomycota; Mortierellomycetes; Mortierellales; Mortierellaceae
Description: sequence contains 5.8S rRNA gene
Source: RNAcentral